This 429-nucleotide ribosomal RNA is filed under the name Chloroflexota bacterium. RNAcentral's name for it is "Chloroflexi bacterium partial 16S ribosomal RNA". It matches the Rfam family "Bacterial small subunit ribosomal RNA", at positions 355 to 776 of the family's 1533-position model. Lineage: Bacteria; Bacillati; Chloroflexota. The record is from RNAcentral.
UGGGGAAUAUUGCACAAUGGGCGCAAGCCUGAUGCAGCCAUGCCGCGUGUGUGAAGAAGGCCUUCGGGUUGUAAAGCACUUUCAGCGGGGAGGAAGGCGGUGAGGUUAAUAACCUCAUCGAUUGACGUUACCCGCAGAAGAAGCACCGGCUAACUCCGUGCCAGCAGCCGCGGUAAUACGGAGGGUGCAAGCGUUAAUCGGAAUUACUGGGCGUAAAGCGCACGCAGGCGGUCUGUCAAGUCGGAUGUGAAAUCCCCGGGCUCAACCUGGGAACUGCAUUCGAAACUGGCAGGCUAGAGUCUUGUAGAGGGGGGUAGAAUUCCGGGUGUAGCGGUGAAAUGCGUAGAGAUCUGGAGGAAUACCGGUGGCGAAGGCGGCCCCCUGGACAAAGACUGACGCUCAGGUGCGAAAGCGUGGGGAGCAAACAGG